Molecule: RNA transcript, 1079 nt
Organism: Phaethon lepturus (White-tailed tropicbird)
Lineage: Eukaryota; Metazoa; Chordata; Aves; Phaethontiformes; Phaethontidae
Gene name: metastasis suppressor protein 1 pseudogene
Exons: 1
Source: RefSeq, a predicted model, not a curated record
ACUUACUGACGUGACCCAGCUGUCUUCUCCAGCUUGUUCCUAACUCUGUCUUUUGGCAUCAGUUUCAGAUUAUGAUUAUUUCUCUGUGAGCGGUGACCAGGAGGCAGAACAACAAGAGUUUGACAAAUCUUCCACAAUCCCAAGAAACAGUGACAUUAGCCAGUCCUAUCGCAGAAUGUUUCAAACCAAGCGUCCUGCUUCCACUGCAGGUCUGCCAACCACACUUGGACCGGUCAUAGUCACCCCUGGCGUCGCCACCAUCAGACGGACCCCUUCCACCAAGCCAUCAGUCAGACGCGGUACCAUAGGGGGAGGUCCGAUUCCAAUCAAGACGCCAGUGAUUCCUGUCAAAACACCAACUGUUCCAGAUAUCCCAGGGGGGCUGCCCGGCACCCUCGCCGGGACAGAAGAAUGUCCCGAGCAAAGUCCCGAGUCUCCGGCACCAGGAGAUGGCGGGCAAGGUGUCACCAGCAUGCCUUCAUCCUCGUGGAGCGGACAAGCGUCUGUCAACCCUCCGCCAUCAAGCCAGAAACUGAGCGCUGCCGACGAGCAGAGGCAACCGGUUCCAGAGAGCGAGGGGGAAGAAAGCGACCGGGAUGGUGUCGGCACCCUCGCGCCUGCGGGCCAGCCAGAGCUCGAUCCCGGAGAGCUGAGUCCUGGGGAUGUUCCACAGGGUGAAGAUAUGCUGAACGCCAUUCGGCGCGGUGUCAAACUGAAGAAGACGACCACGAAUGAUCGCUCAGCACCUCGUAUUUCCUAGGAGUGGAAAAGCUGCCAGAGUACUAGCCGCCGAGAAGGAACUGUGAGGAAGCUAAUUUGUCUCUAUCCAUUCCAAUCUGUAAUCAAUGAUUUUUUUAAGAUACUCGGUAACAGACAGUCUGAAAGUACUCUAAAAGAGAAAACAAGGUGAAAGAGCGUAGUAAGACAUAAUCUUCACUGGUGUUUUAAUUUGUAAAUAUCAAUAAUUUUGUUUCUGCAUUUUUUGAUCUAAGUUACACUUUUAAUUUUUUCUGAAGGUGCCAAAUCCCAUUUACCUUUUUUAUAACUCUCUUUGUAAAGUUUUAAAUCAUAGGAGAAAA